AGCGGAGGAAAAGAAACCAACCGGGAUUGCCUCAGUAACGGCGAGUGAAGCGGCAACAGCUCAAAUUUAAAAUCCGGCCCCGGCGGGGCCUGAGUUGUAAUUUGCAGAGGGUGUUUCGGGGGCGGCGCCGGCCUAAGUUCCUUGGAACAGGACGUCAAAGAGGGUGAGAAUCCCGUCUGGGCGUCGGUGGCCAACCCCGGGUGAACGUCCUUCGACGAGUCGAGUUGUUUGGGAAUGCAGCUCUAAAUGGGUGGUAAAUUUCAUCUAAAGCUAAAUACCGGCCAGAGACCGAUAGCGCACAAGUAGAGUGAUCGAAAGAUGAAAAGCACUUUGAAAAGAGAGUCAAACAGUACGUGAAAUUGUUGAAAGGGAAGCGCUGGCGAUCAGACCUGCCGCCGGGCGAUCAACCGUUAUUCGUUAACGGUGCCACUCGCCCGGUCGCAGGCCAGCAUCGGUUCGGGCGGCGGGACAAAGCGCCCGGGAACGUAGCUUCCUCCGGGGAGCCUUAUAGCCCGGGUGGCCAUGCCGCCCGCCUGGACCGAGGACCGCGCUCCGGCUAGGAUGCUGGCGUAAUGGUCGUCAGCGACCCGUCUUGAAACACGGACCAAGGAGUCUACCAUCCAUGCGAGUGUUUGGGCGUGAAACCCAGGCGCGGAAUGAAAGUGAACGGAGGUGAGACCCCUCGGGUCGCCCCGGGGGCGCAUCAUCGACCGAUCCAGAUGUCUUCGGAUGGAUUUGAGUAAGAGCAUGGCCGGUGGGACCCGAAAGAUGAUGAACUAUGCCUGAAUAGGGUGAAGCCAGAGGAAACUCUGGUGGAGGCUCGCAGCGGUUCUGACGUGCAAAUCGAUCGUCGAAUUUGGGUAUAGGGGCGAAAGACCAAUCGAAUCAU
RNAcentral lists this ribosomal RNA (889 nucleotides) under Physma pseudoisidiatum. RNAcentral describes it as "LSU rRNA". It matches the Rfam family "Eukaryotic large subunit ribosomal RNA", at positions 49 to 943 of the family's 3401-position model. Lineage: Eukaryota; Fungi; Ascomycota; Lecanoromycetes; Peltigerales; Collemataceae. The record is from RNAcentral.